UCUAAAAAUUUCUCCCAAGGAUGCACAUCACUCUUUCAAUAUCUUCAUAAUCCCUGGCCUCCCCUAGUAUAGCAGCAUACCUACAAUGCUCUCUUGGCCACUCAGUCCCUAAGAAGGCUUUAAUGGUGUCGGGAUCAUAACUGAUCAGAUGUCCCCUCACAUAGCUCAUAUACCUCCCCGUUGAUAUUCCUCCCCUAGGCAAAGCAUUGGCAUAGAACUCCUUCACCAACUCAAUACUGGCUGGUGCUGGACAUGUAGUCAAUCUCUCCCAACCUCGCC
RNAcentral lists this long non-coding RNA (279 nucleotides) under Vigna radiata. RNAcentral's name for it is "long non-coding RNA (VRAD_LNC018098)". Lineage: Eukaryota; Viridiplantae; Streptophyta; Magnoliopsida; Fabales; Fabaceae. The record is from RNAcentral.